Molecule: long non-coding RNA, 914 nt
Organism: Cyprinus carpio (common carp)
Lineage: Eukaryota; Metazoa; Chordata; Actinopteri; Cypriniformes; Cyprinidae
Exons: 3
Source: RefSeq, a predicted model, not a curated record
CUCUGCACUGAAUAACUGAAGCUCCUCAGCAGCUGCACGGAGUCUGCAAGGGAAUAAAUGGAACGAGGACAUGAAAAAACACACACAGAAAGCUGCUGGAGCAUCAGAAACCACCGAGGAGCAAAAAACAAGAGGAAAGACAGAAACAGAGGCCAGAAAUGAAACAAAAACCAGUGGAGAGAAAAGCAGACAGAGGCUUGUUAGAUGUGACAGUAUGAAGAAAAGAAGGCCAACGUUCUCAGAUGAUCCACAGGGGCCUGUAAAGUUUGAUACAGAUGUUCUUAAGAACACACAACACACCACAGCAGAUCAAGACCAGAACAACAUCAUCAUCUCAGACUCAAUCUGAAACUGACUAGUGAACGUUUCUUUCCUUGAUGACUAAUAACUGUAUUACCUCGCUGCUGCUGCUGCUGCUGCUGCUCUUUAUCAUUAAUAACCUCUGGAUUACACAGAGACCUUUGUGUUUACAAAAUUAUUUCUUUCAUAUUGCACUGCGUUUCAUGUAUAAUGUAUUUAUUUGUAUUACUGUAUAUUUUGGUAUAUUUCUGUAUAACAUACUGUACAUCAUACAUGCUGAAAUACUGGAUCACAGAUAUUAUGACAUCCCAGGUUAAAAAAAAAGAAAGAAAAGUGCACUAAAAUACACUAUUUCAGAAAUGCUUCAGUAAUGAUUCCACUGCGUCCCGUGUCAAAGGGUCUUUAAAUCAAAAGUGUAGGUUUACUUGUUGGUGUGUUCUACUCUACAUCAAGCACAUCUCUUUCUAUUGCUCUUUCAUUCAUGCUUCUUUUUCAUCUACAACGUUCCAAUAAUUCCUGCUCACUAAAAGCUGCACAGAUAUAUAUUUUCUUAUCACUCAGGCCUAACAUGCAGUAAUGCUUUAAACACGUUUGACAAGCUGGUUGAUAAAAAA